This 69-nucleotide transfer RNA is filed under the name Rattus norvegicus (Norway rat). It matches the Rfam family "tRNA". Rfam says of the family: Transfer RNA (tRNA) molecules are approximately 80 nucleotides in length. Their secondary structure includes four short double-helical elements and three loops (D, anti-codon, and T loops). The record is from Rfam by way of RNAcentral. Lineage: Eukaryota; Metazoa; Chordata; Mammalia; Rodentia; Muridae.
GGGGAUUUAGUUCAGUGGUAGAGCGCUUGCCUAGCAAGCACAAGGCCCUGGGUUCGAUCCCCAGCUCUG